AUUGAACGCUGGCGGAAUGCUUAACACAUGCAAGUCGAGCGGGGUGUAGCAAUACACCUAGCGGCGGACGGGUGAGGAAUACAUAGGAAUCUGCCUCAGAGCGGGGGACGAGCCCGGGGAACCCGGGAUUAAUACCGCAUGAUGUCGCAAGACCAAAGUGGGGGACCGGCAAGGCCCCACACUCUGAGAUGAGCCUAUGUCCGAUUAGCUAGUUGGCGGGGUAAUAGCCCACCAAGGCGACGAUCGGUAGCUGGUCUGAGAGGACGAUCAGCCACACCGGAACUGAGACACGGUCCGGACUCCUACGGGAGGCAGCAGUGGGGAAUACUUGGACAAUGGGCGCAAGCCUGAUCCAGCAAUUCCGCGUGGGUGAAGAAGGCCUGUGUAA
This 388-nucleotide ribosomal RNA is filed under the name uncultured bacterium. Its description in RNAcentral is "bacterial SSU rRNA". It matches the Rfam family "Bacterial small subunit ribosomal RNA", at positions 29 to 428 of the family's 1533-position model. The record is from RNAcentral.